GACGAACGCUGGCGGCGUGCCUAAUACAUGCAAGUCGAACGCUGAAGGAGGAGCUUGCUUCUCUGGAUGAGUUGCGAACGGGUGAGUAACGCGUAGGUAACCUGCCUGGUAGCGGGGGAUAACUAUUGGAAACGAUAGCUAAUACCGCAUAAGAGUAGAUGUUGCAUGACAUUUGCUUAAAAGGUGCAAUUGCAUCACUACCAGAUGGACCUGCGUUGUAUUAGCUAGUUGGUGGGGUAACGGCUCACCAAGGCGACGAUACAUAGCCGACCUGAGAGGGUGUUCGGCCACACUGGGACUGAGACACGGCCCAGACUCCUACGGGAGGCAGCAGUAGGGAAUCUUCGGCAAUGGACGGAAGUCUGACCGAGCAACGCCGCGUGAGUGAAGAAGGUUUUCGGAUCGUAAAGCUCUGUUGUAAGAGAAGAACGAGUGUGAGAGUGGAAAGUUCACACUGUGACGGUAUCUUACCAGAAAGGGACGGCUAACUACGUG
RNAcentral lists this ribosomal RNA (495 nucleotides) under uncultured bacterium. RNAcentral describes it as "partial 16S ribosomal RNA". It matches the Rfam family "Bacterial small subunit ribosomal RNA", at positions 28 to 507 of the family's 1533-position model. The record is from RNAcentral.